ACGAACGCUGGCGGCGUGCUUAACACAUGCAAGUCGAGCGAGGGGAAGCGACAGCAAUGGAGUUUACUCGAGCGGCGGACGGGUGAGUAACGCGUGAGCAAUCUGUCCUUGACGGCGGGAUACCAAUUGGAAACAGUUGUUAAUACCGCAUAGGACCACAGUGCCGCAUGGCACAGGGGUGAAAGGAGGAAUCCGGUCAGGGGGGAACUCGCGUCCUAUUAGGUAGUUGGUGAGGUAACGGCCCACCAAGCCAGCGAUAGGUAGCCGACCUGAGAGGGUGAUCGGCCACACUGGAAUUGAGAGACGGUCCAGACUCCUACGGGAGGCAGCAGUGGGGAAUAUUGGGCAAUGGGCGAAAGCCUGACCCAGCAACGCCGCGUGAGGGAAGAAGGUUUUCGGAUUGUAAACCUCUGUCCCAAGAGAAGAGGGAAAGACGGUAUCUUGGGAGGAAGCCCCGGCUAACUACGU
This 468-nucleotide ribosomal RNA is filed under the name uncultured bacterium. RNAcentral's name for it is "bacterial SSU rRNA". It matches the Rfam family "Bacterial small subunit ribosomal RNA", at positions 29 to 506 of the family's 1533-position model. The record is from RNAcentral.